This 68-nucleotide transfer RNA is filed under the name Botryllus gaiae. RNAcentral's name for it is "transfer RNA-Gly(AGR)". The record is from RNAcentral. Lineage: Eukaryota; Metazoa; Chordata; Ascidiacea; Stolidobranchia; Styelidae.
AAAUUAUUAGUUUAAAAAAAAUAAAUGUUUUCUAUACAUUAGAUAAUAUAUUAUAUUAUAAUUUAAUG